This 253-nucleotide ribosomal RNA is filed under the name uncultured bacterium. Its description in RNAcentral is "partial 16S ribosomal RNA". It matches the Rfam family "Bacterial small subunit ribosomal RNA", at positions 524 to 776 of the family's 1533-position model. The record is from RNAcentral.
UACGUCGGGUGCAAGCGUUGUCCGGAAUUAUUGGGCGUAAAGAGCUCGUAGGCGGUUUGUCGCGUCGGCUGUGAAAACCCGAGGCUCAACCUCGGGCCUGCAGUCGAUACGGGCAAACUAGAGUGUGGUAGGGGAGACUGGAAUUCCUGGUGUAGCGGUGAAAUGCGCAGAUAUCAGGAGGAACACCGGCGGCGAAGGCGGGUCUCUGGGCCAUAACUGACGCUGAGGAGCGAAAGCGUGGGGAGCGAACAGG